Molecule: non-coding RNA, 424 nt
Organism: Phascolarctos cinereus (koala)
Lineage: Eukaryota; Metazoa; Chordata; Mammalia; Diprotodontia; Phascolarctidae
Source: RefSeq, a predicted model, not a curated record
GUUCAGAAGCCCCUUAGUGGAAAAUAGCCCCCUCCAUCUCAUCGGGAAGGAGACUCUGGGGUGCCUUGGAAAGAAAUGUGAAUGAAUAUUCUGAGAGGGGAGUGCCCAAAGAAACCAUAGGAGUAUGGGAGAUCCAGAGGCUUAUUUAGAAUCCCUCCUAGCAACUAAAGGAAGAGUCUAUCAACAUGAGGGUGGCAAUGGCAGUUUCUCUAUACAAUAAAUAAGUCGAGAGGACAUUAGGAGUCACCUGGGUUCAACCUACUACUGACGGCAAAAAUCCUUUGUGUAGAUGAUGGAUGAUCACCCAGGCUUUGCUUGGCUGCUCCCAGUGACAGAGAGCUCAUUACCUCGUGACCAUCUUUGGAGACCUGUAAUUGUUAAAAAGUUCUUUUUUUUAAUGUCAAGUUGGAUGUUGCCUCACUAA